This 483-nucleotide ribosomal RNA is filed under the name uncultured bacterium. Its description in RNAcentral is "partial 16S ribosomal RNA". It matches the Rfam family "Bacterial small subunit ribosomal RNA", at positions 28 to 507 of the family's 1533-position model. The record is from RNAcentral.
GACGAACGCUGGCGGCGUGCUUAACACAUGCAAGUCGAACGCUGAAGCUCAGCUUUUGUUGGGUGGAUGAGUGGCGAACGGGUGAGUAACACGUGAGUAACCUGCCCCCUUCUUUGGGGUAACGCCCGGAAACGGGUGCUAAUACUGGAUAUUCACUGGUCUUCGCAUGGGGGUUGGUGGAAAGGAUUUUUCUGGUGGGGGAUGGGCUCGCGGCCUAUCAGCUUGUUGGUGGGGUGAUGGCCUACCAAGGCUUUGACGGGUAGCCGGCCUGAGAGGGUGACCGGUCACAUUGGGACUGAGAUACGGCCCAGACUCCUACGGGAGGCAGCAGUGGGGAAUAUUGCACAAUGGGCGCAAGCCUGAUGCAGCGACGCCGCGUGAGGGAUGGAGGCCUUCGGGUUGUGAACCUCUUUCGCUCAUGGUCAAGCCGCAACAAUGGUUGUGGUGAGGGUAGUGGGUAAAGAAGCGCCGGCUAACUACGUG